UGAUCUAUUACACAGUUCCUAUUAUCAAAGGGUCACAGUUUGGUAUAAGAGAGUAAUUUUAUACGGUCGAAGAGGACGACCAUCCCCGCUAGAGGAGGGCCAGUCUUCAGUCAAUGGUAUACGAGUAGCUGCACUCCCCUGCUAGAACCUCCAAACAAGCUCUCAAGAGAGUAAUUUUAUUUAGGCAAGUAACUAAAACAUAUCAUGAUUAUAAACCUAUGGU
Papio anubis (olive baboon) is the source of this 223-nucleotide non-coding RNA. The record is from Rfam. Lineage: Eukaryota; Metazoa; Chordata; Mammalia; Primates; Cercopithecidae.